This is a long non-coding RNA of Bubalus bubalis (water buffalo), 488 nucleotides long. RefSeq lists it as uncharacterized. NCBI's taxonomy places the organism in Eukaryota, Metazoa, Chordata, Mammalia, Artiodactyla, Bovidae. The record is from RefSeq and is a predicted model, not a curated record. The transcript has 3 exons.
UGGGGGCAGGAGAGCGCAUCGUACCCAGACCCAGUGGUCCCAGGAGACUGAAUCGCGGAGCCAGGAGGACCAGGUGGGCAGGAGCGAGGAGGCGCCCAGAUCCCCCAUCCCACCCGACUUCGAGAGCUUCAGGCAGCCUGUGAGGUCACCCCUUUGAUUCUCCGUUGAUGCUCCCUGACCAGACUUGGAGUCAGAGAGGAAGCAAGCUCCCUGACGAAAUAGUAAGAGCUUGACUUGCCUGGGUCACCUGCCAGAGACACAGGACUGCUGCUGAACCUGGCUCUCCUGUCACCUUGCAAGCUGACUUCUGAGACCCUCUACCUCCCAGCUCUACUACUGGAGUUAAUAAGACAGGUUAUAGAGAACUACACAGAACACUGGGCCUCACUUUCCUCCUCAGUUGUGACCAGGUGUGACCAUGCCUUGCUGUGCGCUGUCCAGGCCAGCCCCUCCCUGGACAUAAGGGCCACCAGUAACACAGGCUGGAG